GCAGCUGUGAAGUCGGUAGAGCAUGAGACUCUGUAUCUCAGGGUCGUGGGUUUGAGCUCCACGUUGGGCA
Podarcis lilfordi (Lilford's wall lizard) is the source of this 70-nucleotide non-coding RNA. NCBI's taxonomy places the organism in Eukaryota, Metazoa, Chordata, Lepidosauria, Squamata, Lacertidae. The record is from the annotation of a GenBank genome assembly.